GUGCCAGCCGCGGCGGUAAUACGUAGGUGGCAAGCGUUGUCCGGAUUUAUUGGGCGUAAAGGGAACGCAGGCGGUCUUUUAAGUCUGAUGUGAAAGCCUUCGGCUUAACCGAAGUCGUGCAUUGGAAACUGGGAGACUUGAGUGCAGAAGAGGAGAGUGGAACCCCAUGUGUAGCGGUGAAAUGCGUAGAUAUAUGGAAGAACACCAGUGGCGAAAGCGGCUCUCUGGUCUGUAACUGACGCUGAGGUUCGAAAGCGUGGGUAGCAAACAGGAUUAGAUACCCUGGUAGUCCACGCUGUAAACGAUGAAUGCUAAGUGUUGGAGGGUUUCCGCCCUUCAGUGCCGCAGCAAACGCAUUAAGCAUUCCGCCUGGGGAGUACGACCGCAAGGUUGAAACUCAAAGGAAUUGACGGGGGCCCGCACAAGCGGUGGAGCAUGUGGUUUAAUUCGAAGCAACGCGAAGAACCUUACCAGGUCUUGACAUCUUCUGAUAACCUAGAGAUUAGGUGUUCCCUCGGGGACAGAAUGACAGGU
This 534-nucleotide ribosomal RNA is filed under the name uncultured Lactobacillus sp. RNAcentral's name for it is "bacterial SSU rRNA". It matches the Rfam family "Bacterial small subunit ribosomal RNA", at positions 505 to 1039 of the family's 1533-position model. Lineage: Bacteria; Bacillati; Bacillota; Bacilli; Lactobacillales; Lactobacillaceae. The record is from RNAcentral.